RNAcentral lists this ribosomal RNA (460 nucleotides) under uncultured bacterium. Its description in RNAcentral is "partial 16S ribosomal RNA". It matches the Rfam family "Bacterial small subunit ribosomal RNA", at positions 338 to 795 of the family's 1533-position model. The record is from RNAcentral.
CCUACGGGUGGCAGCAGUGAGGAAUAUUGGUCAAUGGACGCAAGUCUGAACCAGCCAUGCCGCGUGCAGGAAGACGGCUCUAUGAGUUGUAAACUGCUUUUGUACGAGGAUAAACGCAGAUACGCGUAUCUUUCUGAAAGUAUCGUACGAAUAAGGAUCGGCUAACUCCGUGCCAGCAGCCGCGGUAAUACGGAGGAUUCAAGCGUUAUCCGGAUUUAUUGGGUUUAAAGGGUGCGUAGACGGUCUGAUAAGUUAGAGGUGAAAUCCCGAGGCUCAACUUCGGAAUUGCCAUUGAUACUGUUCGGCUAGAGAGUAGUUGCGGUAGGCGGAAUGUAUGGUGUAGCGGUGAAAUGCUUAGAGAUCAUACAGAACACCGAUUGCGAAGGCAGCUUACCAAGCUACUUCUGACGUUGAGGCACGAAAGCGUGGGGAGCAAACAGGAUUAGAUACCCUUGUAGUC